This 440-nucleotide unclassified non-coding RNA is filed under the name uncultured fungus. RNAcentral describes it as "partial contains ITS1, 5.8S rRNA and ITS2". Lineage: Eukaryota; Fungi. The record is from RNAcentral.
AACGCACAUUGCGCCCAUGGGUUACCAUGGGCACGCCUGUUUGUGGAACGGUACCAACCACUCCAUCGCCUCCCUUGGGAUUCGUCCCGAGUGGCGGCGGAGAGUGACUGUCACGGGCAAAUGCGCGUCCCUGUCUUGUACAGGGUGCGUAGCCUGCGUCGGUUAAAAUGAGAUGGGCUCUUGUGUGCACGCAUGUAUUGCGAUGCCUGGUAUUGUGGUUCACACCCCCAGCACCUCCGGUUACUGCGCCAGGGCGAUGUCCCAGCCUCUCUCCCCGGAGAGGAGCGGCAUUGUUUUGGCGUUUGGGCUUGCUGGUGAAUCGUGAUAGUAGGAUUAUUUCAGUGUGUGUGUGUAUGCGAUAGUUCCAACCACCUGGAACCUUGGCAGACUAGCUCUGCGGAUUCGUUCUCAAAUCAGACGAGACUACCCGCUGAACUUAA